GCUGAGUCGGCGCGGAGCCGCUGCAGGUGUUGCAGCCUCGGCGGAGGCGGCUUUGGAUAACGGUUGUGCGCGCAGGUUCCUCAUCCCCGUGGCUGCCCCUUUCCUCCGCAGCAAAGGCGGGCUUCGGCGGGUGGGGGAGGAGGGGGUCCCCGUCUUGUAGGGCGGCCGUGGUGGGUCUGUGGCGCCCGUUGGAUGCGCUCCCGGAGCCCGGGGCAGGAGGGGGCCGGAGGGAGGCGUUGCCUCGCCGCUGCCUGAGAGGAUUUACGACGUCUCGGACUCCGCCUGGCGCCGGUGCCGCCGCCGCCUGCCCUGUGUGCAGGUCCCCCUGGCGCGCGGGAAGCGGAGAUGGACGAGAAGUACCUGCCCGAGCUGAUGGCGGAGAAGGACUCGCUGGACCCGUCCUUCACCCAUGCGCUGCGGCUGGUGAACCAAGAAAUUGAGAAAUUCCAAAAAGGGGAAGGAAAGGAAGAAGAAAAGUAUAUUGAUGUAGUGAUAAAUAAAAAUAUGAAGCUGGGGCAGAAAGUGUUAAUUCCAGUAAAACAAUUCCCUAAGUUCAACUUUGUGGGAAAACUUUUGGGUCCACGUGGCAAUUCACUGAAACGUUUACAGGAAGAAACAUUGACAAAAAUGUCGAUAUUGGGAAAAGGUUCCAUGAGGGACAAAUCCAAGGAAGAAGAGUUGAGAAAAAGUGGGGAAGCAAAAUACUUCCACCUAAAUGAUGACCUGCAUGUUCUCAUUGAAGUAUUUGCCCCACCAGCAGAGGCAUAUGCCAGAAUGGGGCAUGCUUUGGAAGAAAUCAAGAAGUUCCUUAUCCCUGACUACAAUGAUGAAAUCAGACAGGCACAGCUCCAAGAAUUAACAUAUUUGAAUGGUGGUUCAGAAAAUGCAGAAGUUCCAGUUGUUCGCGGAAAACCACCAAUACGAGCACGAGGAGUACCAGUCCCUGCUUUGGCCAGGGGCCGUGGAGGAGUGCCACCCCCACCAGCAGGUGUACCAAGAGGGGCACCAGCUCCCAGGGGAGUACCUCCCAGUAGAGGUCCAGUCAGUCGUGGUCGUGGACUUCUAGCCCCCCGAGCAAGAGGAGUACCUCCACCUGCAGGCUACCGGCCUCUGCCACCACCUCCAGCACAGGAAACAUAUGGAGAAUAUGAGUAUGAUGAUGGAUAUGGCACUGCUUAUGAUGAGCAGGGCUACGACUCCUAUGAUAACAGCUAUAGCACCCAGGCACAAAGUGGAACAGAUUACUAUGAUUAUGGACACGGACUUAGUGAGGAAACAUAUGAUUCUUAUGGGCAAGAAGAAUGGACCAACUCAAGACACAAGGCACCUUCAGCAAGGACAACAAAGGGAAUCUACAGAGACCAGCCAUAUGCCAGAUACUGAUUGUACUGUCUGAUGUUGUGAAAUAUCCAAUCUCCACCAGUCCUGUAUACUGUUCCAAGAAACGGUAAACGUCUUGGGGAUCCAAGAGAACAAAAACCUAAAUCGGUUGAUGCUUUGGGACUUCUGUCGUGAUUAUUAUGGACUGCUUAGGCUAUUAUAUUCACCAGUGUGCCUAGUCAACAAUGAAAUCAGCUUUGGAAUUUGAAAAUGCAGUUCUCUUUCUCUUCCAGUAUUUUACGGACUGUAGUACUAAAGUGUAUCAUAUUAUAUCCUUUAUUUUUAACAACUGCUAUAAAAUCCCUUAAUUGUUUAAUGACUUAACAAUGUUAUUUAUGUAGAAGUCAAUAAAGAAUCUCCAUUUAAAUCUCUAGUACAAAGCAAUAAUGCAUCCUUAUGUUCCUUCAGUGACUUUGUAAUUCCUACACAGAAGCUAUGAGCGAACCUUGUGUGGAGUCUUAUGACAAGACCCACAGUUAACUUUUGGAAGUGGUUUAUCUACUGUAUGUGCAGCAUGGACAAGUAAAUAUGAAAACAAGUUUGUUACACAGAAGCUAUUGUGUUGCUCAUAGGCUCAGUGUAAACAGAUGUGCCUGACGCAAGACUGAUUAGUAGAGAGAGAAUAAACCCAAUUUCAAUUUCCUUCAGUAAUUUGUUUAUAGAACAUGAAGGUCAUAAUCACUGUGGACUGUAUUAUAUGGUUCAUUGUCUUUCACUUAUUCUGUGGUAUACUGUGGUUAUAAUUUUACAUCUACAGAAGUAUCUUCUCUACUCUUAUAAUAUAAGGUCACAUGUUUUCCAGUGGAAGAAUUUCAAGCUAGUUUUUGUGUCUUGAUAAAUAUGCUCUCUUGUACCUGGUAAACCUGUUUCCUCAAUGUUUUUUUCAUUUUCAUAUUAGUCCUUAUUGUGAUAAUUUGUAACCCAAAUAAACUUCUGGUAAUUUAACCUUUUCUUACUGCAAAGCUGACUGCAAAGCCAACUGCUUUCCACCCAUGCUUCAGAAAUUUACUUCCAUCGGAUGCAUUUUCCUUUCUGAUAGUUCUUGAAACUCAACAAGUUCGGCCACUGUGCAUGCCAAUUAAUCCAUUUCCAUACUGAGACCAGACUUUUCUUUUUAGCUAAGUGUAUAUUUUCAAGU
Molecule: RNA transcript, 2518 nt
Organism: Caretta caretta (loggerhead turtle)
Lineage: Eukaryota; Metazoa; Chordata; Testudines; Cheloniidae
Gene: KHDRBS3
Gene name: KH RNA binding domain containing, signal transduction associated 3
Source: RefSeq, a predicted model, not a curated record